This 499-nucleotide ribosomal RNA is filed under the name uncultured bacterium. RNAcentral's name for it is "partial 16S ribosomal RNA". It matches the Rfam family "Bacterial small subunit ribosomal RNA", at positions 28 to 507 of the family's 1533-position model. The record is from RNAcentral.
GACGAACGCUGGCGGCGUGCCUAAUACAUGCAAGUCGAGCGGACUUUCAAGAAGCUUGCUUUUUGAAAGUUAGCGGCGGACGGGUGAGUAACACGUGGGCAACCUGCCUGCAAGACGGGGAUAACUCCGGGAAACCGGGGCUAAUACCGGAUAAUAUCUUCCUUCGCAUGAAGGAAGGUUGAAAGGCGGCGCAAGCUGCCGCUUGCAGAUGGGCCCGCGGCGCAUUAGCUAGUUGGUGAGGUAACGGCUCACCAAGGCGACGAGGCGUAGCCGACCUGAGAGGGUGAUCGGCCACACUGGGACUGAGACACGGCCCAGACUCCUACGGGAGGCAGCAGUAGGGAAUCUUCCGCAAUGGACGAAAGUCUGACGGAGCAACGCCGCGUGAGCGAAGAAGGUCGUCGGAUCGUAAAGCUCUGUUGUCAGGGAAGAACAAGUACCGUUCGAACAGGGCGGUACCUUGACGGUACCUGACCAGAAAGCCACGGCUAACUACGUG